Molecule: ribosomal RNA, 497 nt
Filed under: uncultured bacterium
Lineage: Bacteria
Description: partial 16S ribosomal RNA
Rfam family: Bacterial small subunit ribosomal RNA
Source: RNAcentral
GAUGAACGCUGGCGGCGUGCCUAAUACAUGCAAGUCGAGCGAACGGACGAGAAGCUUGCUUCUCUGAUGUUAGCGGCGGACGGGUGAGUAACACGUGGAUAACCUACCUAUAAGACUGGGAUAACUUCGGAAAACCGGAGCUAAUACCGGAUAAUAUUUUGAACCGCAUGGUUCAAAAGUAAAAGACGGUCUUGCUGUAACUUAUAGAUGGAUCCGCGCUGCAUUAGCUAGUUGGUAAGGUAACGGCUUAUCAAGGCAACGAUGCAUAGCCGACCUGAGGGGGUGGUAGGCCACACUGGAACGGAGACACGGUCCAGACGCCUACGGGAGGCAGCAGUAGGGAAUCUUCCGCAAUGGGCGAAAGCCUGACGGAGCAACGCCGCGUGAGUGAUGAAGGUCUUCGGAUCGUAAAGCUCUGUUAUUAGGGAAGAACAUAUGUGUAAGUAACUGUGCACAUCUUGACGGUACCUAAUCAGAAAGCCACGGCUAACUACGUG